RNAcentral lists this long non-coding RNA (2695 nucleotides) under Callithrix jacchus (white-tufted-ear marmoset). Its description in RNAcentral is "lncRNA (ENSCJAG00000080726.1)". The record is from RNAcentral. Lineage: Eukaryota; Metazoa; Chordata; Mammalia; Primates; Cebidae.
AUGUUAUUUUAUUCUAAAAGUAAUAUUUUUAAUUUUUGUAGAGAUGAGUGUCACUAUGUUGCCCAGACUUGUCUGAGACUCCUAGCUUCAAGCAGUCCCCUCGCCUCAGCCUCCCUAACUGCUGGGAUUACGGGCAUGAGCCACUCCACCCAGCCCAGAUUAAAUGCUUUUAUUUCUACCUGCCAUUAUUGGUCUUUACUAAGUGAAGCGACUUCUUUAACAAUAAAUGGAAUUGGUGUACUAAGCAAACAAACAAACAAAAGAAGUACUGGGGCAAAGUGGUCAGUGUUGCUGUGCCACAAAACAAAUGAGAGGGAGACUGUCAUGAGAUAAGGCUGGAGACGCUUACAGGGCUAGAGCAGGGGCUCUGCAUCCUUAGUGCGAGUUACAACCACCUGGAGAUUCAAUAUGUAUCUUAACAUAUGUUUAAUAUAUAUAAUAUACUUAUGUUUAUAUGAUAUAAAUAUUAUAUUUAUCAGUAUAAAUAUUAUAUAUUUAACAUAUAUCAGUAUAUAUAAACAUAAAGAUAAAUAUAUGAUAAAAAUAUAUCAGUAUAUGUUUAUAUAUAUUGAUAUGUACCAGUAUAUAUGAUAUACUAAUAUAUAUUUGUGUAUAUAUCAAUAUAUAUAUAAAUAUGUGACAUGGUAAAAGCCCCAUAAAACUGCAUACCUCAACCAUAUCACGGCUUUCUGUUGAAACUGCUCUCUGUAACCCAAAUGUGAAUAAGUAAUUAAGGACUGUGAUCCCCACCCGACCCAGACAAUGUGUAGAUGAAUGCUAAUCUUGGCUUUUGUGAACCACUCAAGUAACAAUCAGAAUGUCAAAUAGUCCCCUGGCCCUCGGAAUGUCCAGAGCCCCCCUCACCCUCAUCUCGGCCCAGGAGGUGAUUUAGCCCUCGAAAUGACUGAAGCCUUUCAUCCCCAUACCCACUCCUCACCCCCACUCCCAAGGUGGUUUUAUGGGUAUAAAAAGGUCUUGUCACCCUUCUUUCUCGGCCACGGGUUGGGGAGACAUGAGUCCUCCGUGGUCGCCGGCAAUAAACCCUGCAAUUUGGCUUACUUUUGUCUUGGUGUUGAUUAUCUAUGCUUGGUCCAGUAUAACAAUAUAUAUAUAUAUACCGAGGCUCAGACCUUAUCCCAAACGAACUGAAUCAGAAUUCAGUAUUCUGAUUCAGAGUCCUUGGGAUUGGGCCAGCAUGAUUCCUAUAUACAGUCAGGGUUGAGAACUGCUGGGCCAGACCGUGAAAGGCCUUUUCAGCCACGGUCUUUAUCCUGAUCAAUGGAAAGAUCCCAAAAGGCCGUGGGCUCUUUGGCUGAAGGGUGGGGAGUGAUUGGAGGGGCAGGAAUAGAGGCAGAAGAUCCUGUAGGCAGUUAUUGUAGCAAAUCAGUAUGCUACUGGCUCGCUGAGCAUGGCAAGAGACAAGAGCUGGUUCUGUACUUGCUGCUGAGAUUCUCUGGACUGACCCCACUCACUUCCUGAAACCUGCCAUCUUGCUCUGCAUUUUCUUACUCCCUGUUGGUUCCCUCCAGCUGGGCUCUGCCCUCAUAUUCAUCUGCCCUGGAGAGUUUCCUGCUAAUGAAUCCUCCCGGUACCCAUCACUCUUUCUCCUGGGCAGAUGGAUGCAGCCAUUCCAUAUACCUGCAGAGGGUUGCUCUGGCAGAACCUAGGAUUCUAAACUUCUCAAGUACCCUGCAUUUUAAAAUUGUGACUGUAUUUGGCAGCUUUAAUCAAAAAUUGGAAGAACCCUGAAUCUUAACAUUGUGAUUGUAUUUGGCAGUUUUAAUCAAAAAUCGGAAGUACAUGGAAUUAGAACCUUUGGCCAGAGACUCUCAGAGUUGAAAGAGAUAUCUUAGAGAUAGCCUCUUCCAAUCCCUGAAUUUCAUUAUCCAAGAAGAGCCAUGGACUCGGGAGAGUUCAGGACCCAGGUCUGCUAAGGACUUCUGCUUCCCUGGCUUUCCUUCACAUCUUGUUGUCCUAGGGACUUAAGACCAUGAAUUUGCAAAAAUGCUCUGCCUGAAGUGUGUACUGAAGUCCAGAGACAUCACCGGGGAUUCCCAGGGCCGUAAUUAUCAUAAUAAUGUACGAAGGAGAAACUUUCUGUAAAUUUUAACUUCUCUCUUUGAAUUCAGUUUUCUUGCAGUUGCUCCCUCCAGGAGAGCCAGAAGGCUUAUUGCCCCAAGGCAGGAGAGGCUGUGUGAGACCUAGUUUUGAAAGCUUUGAGAUGUGCUGAGAAUUCCUUUAUCGCCAUCAUUAGCAUAUCAAGGGCAAAGCCUAGAGGCUCUUAGGGAUCCCCGAGGUCUGCAAGGGGAAGGCCCGGCCACCAUUGAGAGUGGAGUCAGGGAGGCUCUGGGAGAGCAGCCAGCCCCAUUGGAACCUGGAGAGUCGUGGGAGAGAAGGGAGGAGGUGCUAGAGGUUGGAAGGCCAAUGGGACAGAAGCUUGUUUUCUGAUUUUAAUUCCUGGGCCCAAGGCUGGAAGAUAGGGUGUUGGAACCAUGAGGAUAUUCAUGGCAAGGAGGGGGCUGCUGCCUCUGACCCUGAGGCCCACCUUUGGAAAGGUGUCAGGAGAGUCAGCUGAGGAACCCUAAGUUUUCAGUUUCUCCUGAGUGGCACAGAGGCUGAAUGAACUACCUGAGGGUCUGCCCUGGGCAAGACAAGGUGGCACUCAGGCCAACAGGCCAGCUGGAGGUGACAGCCA